This 253-nucleotide ribosomal RNA is filed under the name uncultured bacterium. Its description in RNAcentral is "partial 16S ribosomal RNA". It matches the Rfam family "Bacterial small subunit ribosomal RNA", at positions 524 to 776 of the family's 1533-position model. The record is from RNAcentral.
UACGUAGGUGGCAAGCGUUGUCCGGAAUUAUUGGGCGUAAAGCGCGCGCAGGCGGUCCUUUAAGUCUGAUGUGAAAGCCCACGGCUCAACCGUGGAGGGUCAUUGGAAACUGGGGGACUUGGGUACAGAAGAGAGGAGUGGAAUUCCACGUGUAGCGGUGAAAUGCGUAGAGAUGUGGAGGAACACCAGUGGCGAAGGCGACUCUUUGGUCUGUAACUGACGCUGAGGCACGAAAGCGUGGGGAGCAAACAGG